Molecule: ribosomal RNA, 492 nt
Filed under: uncultured bacterium
Lineage: Bacteria
Description: partial 16S ribosomal RNA
Rfam family: Bacterial small subunit ribosomal RNA
Source: RNAcentral
AGUGAACGCUGGCGGUAGGCCUAACACAUGCAAGUCGAACGGCAGCACAGUAAGAGCCUGCUCUUACGGGUGGCGAGUGGCGGACGGGUGAGGAAUACAUCGGAAUCUACUUUUUCGUGGGGGAUAACGUAGGGAAACUUACGCUAAUACCGCAUACUACCUACGGGUGAAAGCAGGGGAUCUUCGGACCUUGCGCGAUUGAAUGAGCCGAUGUCGGAUUAGCUAGUUGGCGGGGUAAAGGCCCACCAAGGCGACGAUCCGUAGCUGGUCUGAGAGGAUGAUCAGCCACACUGGAACUGAGACACGGUCCAGACUACUAAGGGAGGCAGCAGUGGGGAAUAUUGGACAAAGGGCGCAAGCCUGAUCCAGCCAUACCGCGUGGGUGAAGAAGGCCUUCGGGUUGUAAAGCCCUUUUGUUGGGAAAGAAAAGCAGCAGGUUAAUACCCCGCUGUUCUGACGGUACCCAAAGAAUAAGCACCGGCUAACUUCGUG